Molecule: long non-coding RNA, 611 nt
Filed under: Manacus vitellinus (golden-collared manakin)
Lineage: Eukaryota; Metazoa; Chordata; Aves; Passeriformes; Pipridae
Description: lncRNA (ENSMVIG00005002955.1)
Source: RNAcentral
ACAGGUGUGAUGAGCAAUCAAAGGGAUGGUCCUGGAGCUGAAGUAACAGUACCUUUCUACAGCUGGUCAUGUUGGGAUGUCCUGCUGCUCCUGGACAAACUGCUGAAAUCAAGUCUUUAUGUCAGUGCCCUUCUGGCAGGCUUUGAGUUACUUGUAGGAGCACAUGAAGAAGUAAUACUAAAUGAAGCAACAGACCUAGCAUCAGCUUUUUCUCCCGGACCUUCCUGCAAACUCUCCAGCCAGUACAUCAUUCAAGAUCACAUGGCUGCUCAUUUCAAGAAACUGAUGUCUGCCAAAGCUGCUGUUGAUUCAUCUGCACCGAAGAGUUUGCAUACCAGUGUUAAAUAUUCACAGAGCCCGAGCUUGAGUCAGAUCUCCUGAGGCUGAUCAGCUCAGUAGGGGGAGCAGAAACCUAGGCUGGUGUGUGUAUGAAGCUGUCCCAAACGAGCUGGCAGAAAAUGAGGAGAAAACACACAUGAAACUACUAACAAUGGCAAGAUGAGCUAUUCAGACCCCUGUAUGUUUUACACAAUUCCCUUGCACUUUUAGGAGUACAGGGUAUACAUUUACCCAAAAGGAAUUACAAGUAAUAUUAUACAUGAGUACAUGAG